UACGUAGGGUGCAAGCGUUGUCCGGAUUUAUUGGGCGUAAAGAGCUCGUAGGCGGUCUGUCGCGUCGGAUGUGAAAACCCAGGGCUCAACCCUGGGCCUGCAUUCGAUACGGGCAGACUAGAGUGUGGCAGGGGAGACUGGAAUUCCUGGUGUAGCGGUGAAAUGCGUAGAUAUCGGGAGGAACACCAGUGGCGAAGGCGAUCAUCUGGGGUUGUUCUGACACUGAGGAGCGAAAGCUAGGGGAGCAAACGGG
RNAcentral lists this ribosomal RNA (253 nucleotides) under uncultured bacterium. RNAcentral's name for it is "partial 16S ribosomal RNA". It matches the Rfam family "Bacterial small subunit ribosomal RNA", at positions 524 to 776 of the family's 1533-position model. The record is from RNAcentral.